AUUAUGGCUCAGGAUGAACGCUAGCGGCAGGCUUAACACAUGCAAGUCGAGGGGCAACGCGAGUAGCAAUACUUGGCGGCGACCGGCGCAAGGGUGCGUAACGCGUGAGCAACAUGCCCGUAUCAGGGGGAUAAUCCAGGGAAACUUGGUCUAAUACCCCAUAGUAAUUUUGUAAGGCAUCUUAUAAGAUUUAAAGCUUUGGUGGAUACGGAUUGGCUCGCGUGACAUUAGCUGGAUGGUAAGGUAACGGCUUACCAUGGCUAUGAUGUCUAGGGGUUCUGAGAGGAAGGUCCCCCACACUGGAACUGAGACACGGUCCAGACUCCUACGGGAGGCAGCAGUGAGGAAUAUUGGACAAUGGAUGGAAAUCUGAUCCAGCCAUGCCGCGUGAAGGAAGAAAGGUCCUAUGGAUUGUAAACUUCUUUUGUAUGGGAGCAAUAAGGCCUACGUGUAGGUUGAUGAGAGUACCAUACGAAUAAGCACCGGCUAACUCCGUGCCAGCAGCAGC
RNAcentral lists this ribosomal RNA (508 nucleotides) under uncultured bacterium. RNAcentral describes it as "bacterial SSU rRNA". It matches the Rfam family "Bacterial small subunit ribosomal RNA", at positions 16 to 518 of the family's 1533-position model. The record is from RNAcentral.